CAGUAGCCGCGGGAAUACGAGGGGGGCAAACGUUGUUCGGAAUUAUUGGGCGUAAAGUGUGCGUAGGCGGUUUGGCAAGUUUGGUGUGAAAUCUUCGGGCUCAACUCGAAGUCUGCAUCGAAAACUGCCGGGCUUGAGUAUGGGAGAGGUGAGUGGAAUUUCCGGUGUAGCGGUGAAAUGCGUAGAUAUCGGAAGGAACACCUGUGGCGAAAGCGGCUCACUGGACCAUAACUGACGCUGAGGCACGAAAGCUAGGGGAGCAAACAGGAUUAGAUACCCCAGUAGUCCCUGUCUCUUAUAC
Molecule: ribosomal RNA, 301 nt
Filed under: uncultured bacterium
Lineage: Bacteria
Description: partial 16S ribosomal RNA
Rfam family: Bacterial small subunit ribosomal RNA
Source: RNAcentral